GACAGCUAAGACAGCAGAUUACUUCUGAUGGAAGCACUAUUCAUCAUGCCUGAUUUCAAGCCCCUUGAGUUUAGAUUCCAGUUCAUCUUCAUUAUCUGCAUCCUCUUCUUUUGCCUCCUCAUCAAUAUCUUCACCUUCUGGAUCAUUCUCAUCCAAAGGCCCAAGUACACCAGGCAAAUUCUUGAAUAUAUCCUUCACCUCAUCAAUCCCUUCAUCAGAUAUAAAAUUGCCAACCAUUUAUAUUUAGCAACUUAAAUCCAGGCUUAAGCACAACAGUCUGUCCCAAGAGCCUUGCCCCAGCCCUUCUGAUUGAGUUAGAGCUCAAAUCAACUUCACUUAACUGGCCAUGACCACUCUCUAUUGCCUUGGCAAUCAAAAUGGCACCUUCAUCCUUAAGUUCAUUCUCAGAAAGGUUUAACUUGCUGAGAAAUUGUUUUGCUGCAAUACAGUCUGCCAAAGAAGAAGCUCCUUUGGCAGUAA
This 480-nucleotide unclassified non-coding RNA is filed under the name Hevea brasiliensis (rubber tree). Lineage: Eukaryota; Viridiplantae; Streptophyta; Magnoliopsida; Malpighiales; Euphorbiaceae. The record is from RNAcentral.